This 500-nucleotide ribosomal RNA is filed under the name uncultured bacterium. Its description in RNAcentral is "bacterial SSU rRNA". It matches the Rfam family "Bacterial small subunit ribosomal RNA", at positions 29 to 518 of the family's 1533-position model. The record is from RNAcentral.
AUGAACGCUAGCUACAGGCUUAACACAUGCAAGUCGAGGGGCAGCAUUGGGAUAGCUUGCUAUCCAGAUGGCGACCGGCGCACGGGUGAGUAACGCGUAUCCAACCUUCCCUAUAGUAGAGAAUAGCCCGGCGAAAGUCGGAUUAAUGCUCUAUGUUGUGUUUUGAGGACAUCUGACGAACACCAAAGGUUCACCGCUAUAGGAUGGGGAUGCGUCUGAUUAGCUUGUUGGCGGGGUAACGGCCCACCAAGGCGACGAUCAGUAGGGGUUCUGAGAGGAAGGUCCCCCACAUUGGUACUGAGACACGGACCAAACUCCUACGGGAGGCAGCAGUGAGGAAUAUUGGUCAAUGGGCGAGAGCCUGAACCAGCCAAGUAGCGUGCAGGAUUGACUGCCCUAUGGGUUGUAAACUGCUUUUAUCAGGGAAUAAAGUGCGGCACGUGUGCCGUUUUGUAUGUACCUGAUGAAUAAGGACCGGCUAAUUCCGUGCCAGCAGCUGC